Molecule: ribosomal RNA, 271 nt
Filed under: uncultured Lachnospiraceae bacterium
Lineage: Bacteria; Bacillati; Bacillota; Clostridia; Lachnospirales; Lachnospiraceae
Description: partial 16S ribosomal RNA
Rfam family: Bacterial small subunit ribosomal RNA
Source: RNAcentral
AUUUCGGUCAAAUCUUGAAGCAUUCUAGUGGCGGACGGGUGAGUAACGCGUGGGUAACCUGCCCUGUACAGGGGGACAACAGUUGGAAACGACUGCUAAUACCGCAUAAGCGCACAGCUUCGCAUGAAGCAGUGUGAGAAACUCCGGUGGUACAGGAUGGACCCGCGUCUGAUUAGAUAGUUGGUGAGGUAACGGCCCACCAAGUCAACGAUCAGUAGCCGGCCUGAGAGGGCGAACGGCCACAUUGGGACUGAGACACGGCCCAAACUCC